GUCUCUUUGUAAUUAGAAAUAUAAGGAGUCGAACCUGCCCGGUGACUAUAUUGUUAAACGGCCGCGGUACUCUAACCGUGCAAAGGUAGCAUAAUCAUUUGCCUUUUAAUUGGAGGCUGGUAUGAAUGGUUUGACGAGAGCUAUGCUGUCUCUUUUAGAAUAUUUAAAAAUUAACUUUUAGGUGAAGAGGCCUAAAUUUGUUUAAGGGACAAGAAGACCCUGUUGAGCUUUAGUAAAAUUAUAAGUGUAAUAGAACUUGUGUGGCUUGCUGUACUAGUUAUUAUGUAGUUGUUAUAAUAAUAGGCUUGUAAUUAAUCUUUAGUUGGGGCGACUGAGGAACAUGUAAAGCUUCCUUGUUUUACGUAUAUUAAUGUUAUGUUGUAAGUUUUAAAUGUUUUUGUAUUAUUUUGAUCCAAUUUGUUUUGAUUAAAAGAAAAAGUUACCACAGGGAUAACAGCGUAAUCUUUCUGGAGAGAUCUAAUCGAAAGAAGGGUUUGCGACCUCGAUGUUGGACUAAGAUAUCCUAAGGGUGCAGAAGCUCUUAAAGGUUGGUCUGUUCGACCAUUAAAAUCUU
This 574-nucleotide ribosomal RNA is filed under the name Jujubinus striatus. RNAcentral describes it as "partial 16S ribosomal RNA". It matches the Rfam family "Bacterial large subunit ribosomal RNA", at positions 1825 to 2597 of the family's 2925-position model. The record is from RNAcentral. Lineage: Eukaryota; Metazoa; Mollusca; Gastropoda; Trochida; Trochidae.